Long non-coding RNA from Mus musculus (house mouse), 4416 nucleotides. RefSeq annotates it as predicted gene, 35502. Lineage: Eukaryota; Metazoa; Chordata; Mammalia; Rodentia; Muridae. The record is from RefSeq and is a predicted model, not a curated record. The transcript has 3 exons.
GGGGAGCGUGACAGCUGGUGAGUUGUGGCCACCUCUGUGUAAGCCAUCAGCCCCAGGUGGGAGGUAAAUCAGCAGUCCCUAGGUCAGAUGGCACUGUCCCUGUCCCCAGGAUUGGCUGCUCUCGCCCCAGGAAGAAAUGAAAGUUGUGCAUCCAGUUAAGGAACGGACAUAGAUUCUCCUUACAAAGCUUGGUGGUUUAUGUCUGUAAUCGUAAUGCCCAGCGUGUUGGAGACAAAAGGAUGGCUGUGAAUUUGAAGCCAGUCUGGCUACAGGGACAAAGCCAAGCCUGUGUCUAGAGUUGUUGUUUUCUUCUAGUUUUUGUGUUUUACCUACAACUUAUAAAAACAACAACAAAAACAAAAACACUCUUGUUCUGAAGAGGUCAAGCAGGUCUGGAGGUUUACAGACGCCUACAUUCCUGAAACACAGCCUAGAAGAGGGCGGCUUUGUGUCCUGAUGUCAAAAGGUAGUCAGAGUCGUCGCACUUGGCAGUAGUGAUGUGGACACCGUUGCUCCUGUGCAGGCUUCAGCCUUACAGCCUGAGACACAGGAUGGAAACAAAGAGCCAGGCUCCCCUUGGGAGGCCUCAGUGAAGUACCAGUAACUCUUCCAACCUGACUCUCACGGGAAUUCUCAUCAGCCCCCACUACUCCCUGAGAACAUUUGGAGGGCACGAUAUCUCAACUUGCAGAGCAAGCGGACAUCAGUCUGUUCCCUACCCUCUCCCUGCCUCAGCACAGACUAUGGCACAACUCUGUCCAUCUGGCCGGCUGAGAUAGCAAUGUCUGAUCAGUCAGGUCUUUCUAGACACUCCUGGGGUGAUAAAGGCACUGGGCAUGGAGCAGACAGCAGGAGGAAACAGAAAGCAGGAUUGAGUCUGCUGUUGGCUAACCUGUUGUGAUUAAAAAGAUAAAGAAAUAUAGGGAUAUGGUCUAUGGGAGUGUGGUGAGGAAUGGGGGAAGGGAGUGCCUCGGUGGGCCCAAGCCAAGGGACCAGGUACAGGACAGUACAGUAUAGAAUAGAGUUUAUUUAGGGCCUGGGGAGGGGAGUUAAGAGGGUAGUAGAGGCAGAGAGAGAGAGAGAGAGAGAGAGAGAGAGAGAGAGAGAGAGAGAGAAAGGUAGAGGCCAGCCAUUACCAUGUGGAGAGAGGGGAGAAGGGAAUGGGAGUAGAGGGGAGAAGAGAAUGUGGAGAGGGGGAGGAAGAGGGGAAGAGGCAAGAGAGAGAGGCAAGAAGAAGAGUGGAAGGAGGAGGCAAGCAUCCCCUUUUAGAGUGGACCAGGCCUACAUUGCCAGGUAACUGUGGGGAUGGAGUCCAGAGUACCAACCUAACCUAAGGACCUAACUUCUUCCAUUCUCCUCAGGCCAGGUUCAGGAAAAGAAACCAAGCCUACAGCAAUGGCAGUCAUGGUGCUUCACGUGUGCAAAGGAAGAAAUACUCCAUACCCACUGCUAGUCCUGGGCUAGAUCUGGGGCCUUAGCCUGCAUCCAGGAAAUGGAAACUUUUGGCUUUUGGCCUCUUUGUAACCUGGUAGACUUGGCCUCCUAUGUAUAAGGACCCACCACCAUCACCACUACUGUUGCCUGCACAGGUCCAUCAUCUCUGACUUUUCCAUGAAUGGCUUCCAGGUUGAUGACCCAUAAGACUGUUUACCAGAGACCUUCAUCUACAGGGCACAUUGUUUGCCUGUCUCCAAGGUCACCAUAUGUUGUAUGCAGCUCCUGUGCUCACUCACCUCCGCUAGUUAUCUGAUAUUGCUCUGGCUCGGUGCGCAUGGGUUUUAUUGUUGGUUGUUUGUUUUUGGCUAAUCUCCACCAGGCCUUUUGACAGAGAUGGAUGCAACCUGAGUCUGCUUCAUGUACAUUACAAGCUGCCCCCAGAACUUGAAGGGAGCCUCAGAAGUUCAGCAGCCGGAGAGGCCCUCCUCUCUGCCAUAGCUUGUCCAAGAUUGAGGCUUUUCUGGGCUGGGAGGGGUGAGAAAGGCUCCAGACAGACGUGCAAACCUGUUUCACGGAAUGGAUUUACAUAUGAACAAGAGUCUUGUUCUGGGGCCACCACAAAGUAGCAUGAAGGUCAAAGGUCAGAGAUCACCCCCAUAUCACCCCAGGCUCUGUAUGUCCUUGAGAAUGGGAAAUGUGACCUUUCCUGCUCAUUCUAAUUUUUAUUGUGAUGAGAUCUGGGAACGACCUCUGACUCGGAAGGGGUUAAAGGUCACCUGACUUCCCUAAGGCUCUUGCAGAAGGAACCUGCUUGAUCCCCAGCCCUCGCAGGUUUCCGAGUCCUAACCCAGCACAAGGCCUGUAUCUCAUUUUAGUUCGGGGGCCCUGCAAGUCACGUGGAUUUUCCCAUCACUGCUUCUAUGUGGUGGAAAAACUCCUUUGGCUGCAACUGCGGUAUAGUGCUGAGGCCAGGAACGCGGCAAAUAUCGAAGGUCCAGAGCACGCACCACAACCAACCGAAAGCUCAGAGAGAAGUCAAAGAAAGCUAAUCCUUGAGUGUGUUGCGGUGACCAGGUGGCCACAGAAACCUCUGUGAGCAGGGAGAUGAGCCAGCUUUGUCCUGCAGAGGUCCCAGCAUAAGCGAAGGCUGUAAUUUUGCCAAAGUCGAGGAGUGGGGGUGGGUGCGUCUUAUUGUUACUCCAAGCAUUUUAGCUUCCCAGUACAAGACUGCACGCUGCAAAACAACGUUGAAACUCUGCGGAAGAUUGGCUAGUGAUUCGAAGCGCACAGUAAGACUAGAAAUGGCAGUGGGGGGGGGGGGGGGUUCGGGGGGAGACAGCAGUAGAGAGCCCUGCAGACACAGGCCAUGGGUGAGGGAACCAGCAAGGAGCCACCAUGUUUGGGGCCCUCUGCUACGAUAUUUUAAAACGGAUUUCAGAGUGUGCUGAGCAGAUGGUCACAGCAGACUGCUGUGCCAGGUGUGUUAAUGAGGCAAGUCAGUAGCAUUCCUGGAGUUACCAAGGAUACUCAGUUAAAGCGGGGCAGGAGCCUCAGGUGAAAACCUGGAAGCGCCGGCCUCACAUUUGCAUGACAAAAGGCCAAGACCUGGGGCUGUGCCAGGCUCCGCCUCCUUCUGCUGGACACGUGACUCCCUUGUUUGUUUUGUUUUUUUUCUCUUUUUGUUUCUCCCUCGGAGCGUCUUGGAGACCCGCUCUUUGCCUGUAACUAAGCAGCAGGCGUUUAUGCUCUAAAUAGACGGUGUUUGUAAUUUUUCACCCCAGUUACCCUAGAAAUCUCUCAAAUGACUUCUUUAUAUAAGCAGCCAUCUAACUCCAUCAGCACCACCCACUGGCCCUGUCCUCAGAGGAUAAUGAGCCAGGAUCGGCCAGCUUCCCUUGUUGCUGUUUCUUAAGCCCCCAUGGCAUAGCAGAGUCGUCCUCCCUUUUAUCUCCCUGUGUGCGUGUGCGUGUGUUGCGCAUGAGCAUAGUAUGAUAAUGCUACCAUACACCCACCGGGAGAUUCCGGUGAACAGGAUGGGGGCAGGCAGAAGGGGGAGCAACCAGGAGAAUCAGAAAUGGAGAGAGCCUUAUUUGCAACCUGUCAGGGGGCAUGGCUUUUUGUGUGUAAUAAACACGAGAUUUUUGGUCCCCUGCAAGCGUGGCACACACAUCUUCUAGUAUGUACCAUGCUACCAGGGAUCCUGGAACAUCACAACUCAGCACACAGUCAUUUCUUAGAAAUAUAUGUCCCCAAGUGCAUGUCCCUCAUGCCUGCCAACAUGUUCACUGCAGCUCAGGCUGCUAGGGACAGUGUGAUGAGGGGAACCCCUUGCAGCAAGCCCAAUGCCAUUAGCACUGGAGUGCUUGGGCAGUUAAGUGUGUAUCCCUAGUAACUCCUUAGUCAAAACCAACCCUCUGUUUCAGUCAUGAAAUGUAGCUGAGAGACUGUGAGACGGUCCAUCAGAAGGAAGGACAUGAUUUUUCUACUGCCCAGAAUUCGGGAAUUCGGGACCAGGGAGCUACCACCACUGUGGACUGAGUUCCUGAAAAAGUUGUAUCUUUGUUUAGGACUCUGGGGGUUUAAUAAGAACUUCAUAAUUGGGUAGAGUUGGAAUGUUGCAGGUCCAGAGCCAGAAAUAUAUCUGGCUCUUUUAUAGGCAUUUACCUACCCCUAUAUCUGACCUAAAACUCUUUAGACCACCAGAAAAAAAAAAAAAAAAAAAACUUGGAAUGUGUUAACCUAGAAAACUGUUAGCUUCCAUCAACAGGAAGCUAAACAUGUGAUCAGAUAGCAUCUGGAAUGAUAACAAAGGUUUCCUAGUGCCUUACCAAUAUAAUAGAAGGUGAAUAAAUGUACAGCUUUCUAUUCUGUGACUAACAUAAAUAUGUGUAACUUCUACUUGUCACUUAGGGCAACCCGAAAUAGUGUUUGCAAGCCACAAGCAUUCAUAUUUGUCUCAGAAUAAACUAUGUCUCAUUC